RNAcentral lists this ribosomal RNA (301 nucleotides) under uncultured bacterium. RNAcentral describes it as "partial 16S ribosomal RNA". It matches the Rfam family "Bacterial small subunit ribosomal RNA", at positions 509 to 807 of the family's 1533-position model. The record is from RNAcentral.
CAGUCGCCACGGGAAUACGUAGGUGGCAAGCGUUGUCCGGAAUUAUUGGGCGUAAAGGGCUCGCAGGUGGUUUCUUAAGUCUGAUGUGAAAGCCCCCGGCUCAACCGGGGAGGGUCAUUGGAAACUGGGAAACUUGAGUGCAGAAGAGGAGAGUGGAAUUCCACGUGUAGCGGUGAAAUGCGUAGAGAUGUGGAGGAACACCAGUGGCGAAGGCGACUCUCUGGUCUGUAACUGACGCUGAGGAGCGAAAGCGUGGGGAGCGAACAGGAUUAGAUACCCCUGUAGUCCCUGUCUCUUAUAC